AGUGAACGCUGGCGGUAGGCCUAACACAUGCAAGUCGAACGGCAGCACAGGAGAGCUUGCUCUCUGGGUGGCGAGUGGCGGACGGGUGAGGAAUACAUCGGAAUCUACUUUAUCGUGGGGGAUAACGUAGGGAAACUUACGCUAAUACCGCAUACGACCUACGGGUGAAAGCAGGGGAUCUUCGGACCUUGCGCGAUUGAUUGAGCCGAUGUCGGAUUAGCUAGUUGGCGGGGUAAAGGCCCACCAAGGCGACGAUCCGUAGCUGGUCUGAGAGGAUGAUCAGCCACACUGGAACUGAGACACGGUCCAGACUCCUACGGGAGGCAGCAGUGGGGAAUAUUGGACAAUGGGCGCAAGCCUGAUCCAGCCAUACCGCGUGGGUGAAGAAGGCCUUCGGGUUGUAAAGCCCUUUCGUUGGGAAAGAAAUCCAGCUGGUUAAUACCCGGUUGGGAUGACGGUACCCAAAGAAUAAGCACCGGCUAACUUCGUGCCAGCCGCCGCCGUAA
RNAcentral lists this ribosomal RNA (506 nucleotides) under uncultured bacterium. Its description in RNAcentral is "partial 16S ribosomal RNA". It matches the Rfam family "Bacterial small subunit ribosomal RNA", at positions 29 to 523 of the family's 1533-position model. The record is from RNAcentral.